RNAcentral lists this ribosomal RNA (258 nucleotides) under uncultured Bacteroidota bacterium. RNAcentral's name for it is "uncultured Bacteroidetes bacterium partial 16S ribosomal RNA". It matches the Rfam family "Bacterial small subunit ribosomal RNA", at positions 316 to 571 of the family's 1533-position model. Lineage: Bacteria; Pseudomonadati; Bacteroidota. The record is from RNAcentral.
GUACUGAGACACGGACCAGACUCCUACGGGAGGCAGCAGUAAGGAAUAUUGGACAAUGGACGAAAGUCUGAUCCAGCCAUGCCGCGUGCAGGAUGAAAGCCCUAUGGGUUGUAAACUGCUUUUAUACAGGAAGAAACACUCGUACGUGUACGAGCUUGACGGUACUGUAAGAAUAAGGACCGGCUAACUCCGUGCCAGCAGCCGCGGUAAUACGGAGGGUCCGAGCGUUAUCCGGAAUCAUUGGGUUUAAAGGGUCCG